UACGUAGGUGACAAGCGUUGUCCGGAUUUACUGGGCGUAAAGAGCGCGCAGGCGGUCGAUCAAGUCGAGUGUGAAAGCCCCCGGCUCAACUGGGGAGGGUCAUUCGAUACUGAUCGACUCGAAGGCAGGAGAGGGUAGUGGAAUUCCCGGUGUAGUGGUGAAAUGCGUAGAUAUCGGGAGGAAAACCAGUGGCGAAGGCGACUACCUGGCCUGUUUCUUGACGCUGAGGCGCGAAAGCUAGGGGAGCAAACGGG
RNAcentral lists this ribosomal RNA (254 nucleotides) under uncultured bacterium. Its description in RNAcentral is "partial 16S ribosomal RNA". It matches the Rfam family "Bacterial small subunit ribosomal RNA", at positions 524 to 776 of the family's 1533-position model. The record is from RNAcentral.